CCUACGGGUGGCAGCAGUGAGGAAUAUUGGUCAAUGGCCGGAAGGCUGAACCAGCCAUGCCGCGUGAAGGUCAGUGCCCUAUGGGCGUUAAACUUCUGUUGUGCGGGAGCAAUAAUGGUCACGUGUGGCCAGACGAGAGUACCGUACGAAUAAGCAUCGGCUACCUCCGUGCCAGCAGCCGCGGUAAUACGGGGGAUGCAAGCGUUAUCCGGAUUGAUUGUGUUUAAAGGGUGCGUAGGCUGUGAGGUAAGUCAGCGGUGAAAUGCCCCCGCUCAACGGGGUGAAGUGCCAUUGAUACUGCCUGGCUGGAAUGCGGAUGCCGUGGGAGGAAUGUGUGGUGUAGCGGUGAAAUGCAUAGAUAUCACACAGAACACCGAUUGCGAAGGCAUCUCACGAAUCCGCGAUUGACGCUGAUGCACGAAAGCGUGGGUAUCAAACAGGAUUAGAUACCCUGGUAGUC
Molecule: ribosomal RNA, 460 nt
Filed under: uncultured bacterium
Lineage: Bacteria
Description: partial 16S ribosomal RNA
Rfam family: Bacterial small subunit ribosomal RNA
Source: RNAcentral